UUUAUCUGCUAGGGGUGUCCAUUAGGACUGAGAAUAAACCCUUUGAACCUGAUCCAGAUCAUGCUGGCGCAGGAAAGCAUGUUUAUACUUGU
Molecule: non-coding RNA, 92 nt
Filed under: Beggiatoa sp.
Lineage: Bacteria; Pseudomonadati; Pseudomonadota; Gammaproteobacteria; Thiotrichales; Thiotrichaceae
Description: TPP sequence
Rfam family: TPP riboswitch aptamer (THI element)
About the family: Vitamin B(1) in its active form thiamin pyrophosphate (TPP) is an essential coenzyme that is synthesised by coupling of pyrimidine and thiazole moieties in bacteria. The previously detected thiamin-regulatory element, thi box was extended, resulting in a new, highly conserved RNA secondary structure, the THI element, which is widely distributed in eubacteria and also occurs in some archaea.
Source: RNAcentral